RNAcentral lists this non-coding RNA (23 nucleotides) under Rattus norvegicus (Norway rat). The record is from RNAcentral. Lineage: Eukaryota; Metazoa; Chordata; Mammalia; Rodentia; Muridae.
UAUGGUUGGUCAUCGUCAUUGUC